RNAcentral lists this ribosomal RNA (253 nucleotides) under uncultured bacterium. RNAcentral describes it as "partial 16S ribosomal RNA". It matches the Rfam family "Bacterial small subunit ribosomal RNA", at positions 524 to 776 of the family's 1533-position model. The record is from RNAcentral.
UACGUAGGGUGCGAGCGUUGUCCGGAAUUAUUGGGCGUAAAGAGCUCGUAGGCGGUUUGUCGCGUCGAAUGUGAAAUCCCGGGGCUCAACUCCGGGCCUGCAUUCGAUACGGGCAGACUAGAGUUCGGUAGGGGAGUCUGGAAUUCCUGGUGUAGCGGUGAAAUGCGCAGAUAUCAGGAGGAACACCGGUGGCGAAGGCGGGACUCUGGGCCGAUACUGACGCUGAGGAGCGAAAGCGUGGGGAGCAAACAGG